Long non-coding RNA from Sarcophilus harrisii (Tasmanian devil), 875 nucleotides. RefSeq lists it as uncharacterized. The record is from RefSeq and is a predicted model, not a curated record. The transcript is spliced from 5 exons. Lineage: Eukaryota; Metazoa; Chordata; Mammalia; Dasyuromorphia; Dasyuridae.
GGGGUCGCGGGGGGCCAGGGCCAAUGAGAAAGCUCCAAGCACAAGAGGGAACACGCAUCAGUUGCCCGGAGUUUUCUUAAAAUUCUCGGACAGACUCACUUUCUUUAAUGUACAUUAGGGUACCUGUGCACUUGCCAGGCGGGGAAGGAAAAAGGAAAUUUAGGAGUCAAGGGAGAUGGCAAGACAGCUGUGCACUCAUUCGUUAUUUACCAGGCAAUAAUGAGAUAGGUUUUCAUUUUUCAAAAGAAGAAAGGCGCAAACUUUAUUAUACUCGCUUCAAUCUACUCUACUUUGGAGAAAAGGCCCUUCCUUCCCCUUGAAUUCUCCAAAAUGACUUGUUUUGGGUAAUCCUGCAAUCAACAGAACUAUAAAAGACCCUCUUCCACAAGCCAGUGAUCCAGUGAUUCCAAAAAUUUGUCUCAUUUGGAAUGUUUAAUCUAUUACCUCUUUCAGUGCUUGCCACUUCCAGAACCUAGAAAUUAUUUUCUCAAAGGACAUAUUGAUGAUGUAAAGCGUUCCACACCCAAAGUCUCCCACCACUUAAAGAAGGUUCUUCGAACUACUACCAAAAAUAUUACUGGAUUCUCCCCUCUCACUAAGAUUCAGCAUAGAGGGCUUUUUGUCUAAAUGAAAGAAAGAACCAAUUUGGAAGAACCUCAAAAGCUUUAGACUCAAUUUCAUUUUUUUCAGAGUGACUGCCCCAUACCUUUAACCAUACUGACUGUUCUAGGAAAGCAAGAGAAAAGGACUUGGGAAUCCAAAUCAAUGGCCACAAAGUAAAAACAAACUCAAUUUUUAACAAGCUGUUUUGUAAAAUAAAACAAAACAGAAACACCAACCCUCCCAAAAAACCAUCUGCGGACAUUUGAGUUCUG